ACAGGUGCGUCCUUUCAUUGGUUUGGUUUAUAUAUAACGAAUUCUUAAACCUCAUCUCAUGUUGCAGACUUGCAAUUUUGAGAUCUCUUAUUUAUGUCUGUAUCGCUAACCAAAAACAUAUAUUUGUUGAUGAUGAUUUAUGAAAUAUCCAGACAUGGUAAGUAGAAUUCGUGUUCCUAUGUGUUGUUGAUUUAAUUUUUAAGUGGGUUUAGGAAAGUUUGAUUUUUGUUUUAUGUGUUUGUGAAAAAUUCGCCAAUUACUUAGGCCCUUUCAUUUGAGUAAUUGUUGAUGAUGAUUCAUGGAAUCCAGACAUGCCACGGCUCGGCUUCCCGAGGGUAUUAUAAGUGUGAUCUACGGAUUUGGUUCUACGGAUGGUGCAUUCACUUUCCAAUCAUAUCGAUGAUAUCGCCAAUGUUUGUUUUUCUACAUCUGUCAAUAUAUAUAUUGUAGCUUAGAUGAUCGAUAUUUAUUGAUAGCAUUUUGGAUGGAAGGUCUCAAAAUAUCAUGGUCGCCAAGGCCUGAACUUGAGUGUGCAGGGGAGAGGAUAAUCAAUCAUAAAUUCCAUCACCAUAUGUCUGACUGAAGGAGAAUCAAGAUUAGAAAAUAUCAGAAAGAAAGGAAAUACCGCAUGCCAAAAGAUCAUCUUGGCAGAACUUAAUUCAUGGUAUGGUAAUGAACUUUUUAGUUCACAACAAUCCUUACUAAUUCGUUACAAAUUAAAAUCCUUUGAGUCUCCACGUGCAGUGACCUAGGAUAAUAUGGUCAGCGAAUUCAGUUGCCACCACUAACUUAGCACCAUUUAGUCUUAUUCAAGCCAUUUUAAUACAAUAAAAGCGAUUCUCUGUGAAACUUUUAUGAGUGUAAGACUAUUUGAAUGCAUUUACAACAAUCACUAACGCUUAUAAAUUUUUCAUAUAUGUCAUUUUUAUAUAAUGUCAUGCAUGAUGGUCUUCAGGCAGACCACUUAAGAUGUUGUUGCAGCAGAAUGCCAUAGAUUGCAUGAGUUUUUACUACCAAACAGGUCAGAGGGGGGCAAUUAUAACUAUUAGCUCAAGCACA
This is a long non-coding RNA of Papaver somniferum (opium poppy), 1059 nucleotides long. RefSeq lists it as uncharacterized. The transcript is spliced from 4 exons. The record is from RefSeq and is a predicted model, not a curated record. NCBI's taxonomy places the organism in Eukaryota, Viridiplantae, Streptophyta, Magnoliopsida, Ranunculales, Papaveraceae.